AUUGAACGCUGGCGGCAUGCUUUACACAUGCAAGUCGAACGGAAGCACGUCGCUAGGUGCCGGCGAGUGACGUACGGGAGGGUAAUUCACCGGAACGUGCCCAGCCCUGGAGGAUAACUACUCGAAAGAGUAGCUAAUACCACAUACGAUAUAUGCUUGAAAGCCGGGGUCAGUAAGGGCACGCGCGAUUGGAACGGCCGAUGUCCGAUUAGGUAGUUCAUGGGCUAAAGGCUCACCAAGCCCACGAUCUUGAGCUGGUCUGAGAGGACGACCUGCCACACUAGAACUGAGACACGGCCCAGACUCCUACGGGAGGCAGCAGUCGGGAAUUUUGGACAAUGGGCGCAAGCCUGCUCCAGCAGUGCCGCGUGCAGGAAGAAGGCCUUCGGGUUGUAAACUGCUUUUGUGCGGAGCGAAAAGGCUCUGGUUAAUACCCGGGGCUAAUGACGGUACCGUAAGAAUAAGCACCGGCUAACUACGUG
Molecule: ribosomal RNA, 482 nt
Filed under: uncultured bacterium
Lineage: Bacteria
Description: partial 16S ribosomal RNA
Rfam family: Bacterial small subunit ribosomal RNA
Source: RNAcentral